RNAcentral lists this ribosomal RNA (305 nucleotides) under uncultured bacterium. RNAcentral's name for it is "bacterial SSU rRNA". It matches the Rfam family "Bacterial small subunit ribosomal RNA", at positions 335 to 657 of the family's 1533-position model. The record is from RNAcentral.
UUGCCUACGGGACGCAGCAGUGGGGGAUAUUGCACAAUGGGGGGAACCCUGAUGCAGCGACGCCGCGUGAGCGAUGGAGUACUUCGGUAUGUAAAGCUCUGUCAGCAGGGAAGAAAAUGACGGUACCUGACCAAGAAGCCCCGGCUAACUACGUGCCAGCAGCCGCGGUAAUACGUAGGGGGCAAGCGUUAUCCGGAUUUACUGGGUGUAAAGGGAGCGUAGACGGCAGCGCAAGUCUGGAGUGAAAUGCCGGGGCCCAACCCCGGAACUGCUCUGGAAACUGUGAAGCUGGAGUGCAGGAGAGG